CUGUUGCUUGCAACGGCGAAUUGUAGUCUCGCGAAGCGUUUUCCAGACGGACCUUCCCUGCCUAAGUUGCUUGGAACAGCACAUCAGAGAGGGUGACAAUCCCGUUCGUGGCAGGGCGGGCCGUUCACGAUACGCUUUCCAUGAGUCGGGUUGCUUGGGAAUGCAGCCCAAAAUUGGUGGUAAACUCCAUCUAAAGCUAAAUAUUGGCACGAGACCGAUAGCGAACAAGUACCGUGAGGGAAAGAUGAAAAGAACUUUGAAAAGAGAGUUAAAAAGUGCGUGAAACCGUUAGAGGGGAAACGGAUGCAGUUAGCAAUGCUUCGGCGAGAUUCAGACGGCCGCUUGGCCAGACGUGCAGUGCAUGGAUCCGAAUGGACUGUCUCUGUGCGGCCUGGUCUUGUGCUCGUCGCACUUUUCGUCGAGGCGCGUCAACAGCUGUUGGGACUGAGCGACAAGGCUCCGAGGAAGGUAACCGUGUACUUCGGUGUGCGGCGUUAUAGCCUCGGAGAUUCAGCCAGUUCGGUCUUGGCAGAGGCGAGCGGUGCAUGCCCUCGGGCUGGCGUACCUCCUGUUGGCUGGGUGUCGACCAUGACGGACUGCUUGCAGUGCGUCUGAACUGCACCCGGUCAUUUAGGGGUGUAAGCGCACACUAUGCACCUUGGUUGUUGGCGGCCAUAUGGCUUUAUCCGACCCGUCUUGAAACACGGACCAAGGAGUCUAACAUGUGCGCAAGUCUUGGGGUGACCGAAACCCAAAGGCACAAUGAAAGUGAAGGCUGCCUAGCAGCUGAGGUGAGAUCUUCGUUCUGCGUGGAUGAGGCGCAUCAUCGACCGACCUAUUCUACUCUUAGAAAGGUUUGAGUAAGAGCGCAAAUGUUGGGACCCGAAAGAUGGUGAACUAUGCCUGAGUAGGGUGAAGCCAGAGGAAACUCUGGUGGAAGCUCGUAGCGAUUCUGACGUGCAAAUCGAUCGUCGAACUUGGGUAUAGGGGCGAAAGACUAAUCGAACCAUCUA
RNAcentral lists this ribosomal RNA (1013 nucleotides) under Cyanea annaskala. Its description in RNAcentral is "eukaryotic LSU rRNA". It matches the Rfam family "Eukaryotic large subunit ribosomal RNA", at positions 124 to 946 of the family's 3401-position model. The record is from RNAcentral. Lineage: Eukaryota; Metazoa; Cnidaria; Scyphozoa; Semaeostomeae; Cyaneidae.